GAUGAACGCCGGCGGCGUGCCUAAUACAUGCAAGUAGAACGCUGAAGCUUGGUGCUUGCACCGAGCGGAUGAGUUGCGAACGGGUGAGUAACGCGUAGGUAACCUGCCUCUUAGCGGGGGAUAACUAUUGGAAACGAUAGCUAAUACCGCAUAAAAGUCGAUAUCGCAUGAUAUUGAUUUGAAAGGUGCAAAUGCAUCACUAAGAGAUGGACCUGCGUUGUAUUAGCUAGUUGGUGAGGUAACGGCUCACCAAGGCGACGAUACAUAGCCGACCUGAGAGGGUGAUCGGCCACACUGGGACUGAGACACGGCCCAGACUCCUACGGGAGGCAGCAGUAGGGAAUCUUCGGCAAUGGGGGCAACCCUGACCGAGCAACGCCGCGUGAGUGAAGAAGGUUUUCGGAUCGUAAAGCUCUGUUGUAAGAGAAGAACGAGUGUGAGAGUGGAAAGUUCACACUGUGACGGUAACUUACCAGAAAGGGACGGCUAACUACGUG
Molecule: ribosomal RNA, 497 nt
Filed under: uncultured bacterium
Lineage: Bacteria
Description: partial 16S ribosomal RNA
Rfam family: Bacterial small subunit ribosomal RNA
Source: RNAcentral